RNAcentral lists this ribosomal RNA (460 nucleotides) under uncultured bacterium. RNAcentral describes it as "partial 16S ribosomal RNA". It matches the Rfam family "Bacterial small subunit ribosomal RNA", at positions 338 to 795 of the family's 1533-position model. The record is from RNAcentral.
CCUACGGGUGGCUGCAGUGAGGAAUAUUGGUCAAUGGGCGCGAGCCUGAACCAGCCAAGUAGCGUGAAGGAUGACUGUCCUACGGGUUGUAAACUUCUUUUAUAAAGGAAUAAAGUGAGGCACGUGUGCCUUUUUGUAUGGACUUUAUGAAUAAGGAUCGGCUAACUCCGUGCCAGCAGCCGCGGUAAGACGGUGGGGCCGAGCGUUAUCCGGAUUGAUUGGGUUUAAAGGGAGCGUAGAGGGGUGGGUAAGUCAAUUGUGAAAGUUUGCGGCUCAACCGUAAAAUUGCACUUGUUACUGGCAGUCUUGAGUACAGUUGAGGUAGGCGGAAUGCGUGGUGUAGCGGUGAAAUGCUUAGAUAUCACGAAGAACUCCGAUUGCGAAGGCAGCUUACUAAACUGCCACUGACAUUGAUGCUCGAAAGUGUGGGUAUCAAACAGGAUUAGAUACCCUUGUAGUC